CCUACGGGUGGCUGCAGUGGGGAAUAUUGGACAAUGGGGGCAACCCUGAUCCAGCCAUGCCGCGUGUGUGAAGAAGGCCCUCGGGUUGUAAAGCACUUUCAGUGAGGAAGAACGCCUGGUGGUUAAUACCCAUCAGGAAAGACAUCACUCACAGAAGAAGCACCGGCUAACCUCCGUGCCAGCAGCCGCGGUAAUACGGAGGGUGCGAGCGUUAAUCGGAAUUACUGGGCGUAAAGCGCGCGUAGGUGGCUUGAUAAGCCGGUUGUGAAAGCCCCGGGCUCAACCUGGGAACGGCAUCCGGAACUGUCAAGCUAGAGUGCAGGAGAGGAAGGUAGAAUUCCCGGUGGAGCGGUGAAAUGCGUAGGGGUCGGGAGGAAUACCAGUGGCGAAGGCGGCCUUCUGGACUGACACUGACACUGAGGUGCGAAAGCGUGGGUAGCAAACAGGAUUAGAUACCCCUGUAGUC
This 466-nucleotide ribosomal RNA is filed under the name Vreelandella stevensii. RNAcentral describes it as "partial 16S ribosomal RNA". It matches the Rfam family "Bacterial small subunit ribosomal RNA", at positions 338 to 795 of the family's 1533-position model. The record is from RNAcentral. Lineage: Bacteria; Pseudomonadati; Pseudomonadota; Gammaproteobacteria; Oceanospirillales; Halomonadaceae.